CCCGGCUCCCUUUUAUGAAUGGGGGGCUGGAGAGAGACUGGCUGCGAGCCGCGGAGGACGGAUACGGCUUUCUCUCUCGCUGUUUGCUGUCCCCAUCCCCCGCUUAUUUAUUUAUUUAUUCAUUUUGUGAAUGGAGGGCAGGCGGUGACAGCUGCGCACGUACCGCGCCCUCUGCCCGGCCUGAAGGGAGGAUCAAAGCCCGGGGAGGACCCUUCAGCUGUUUGCUUUUCCUUUAUGCAGAAACUUUACCACGGCUGCCCUGAAAACCCCACCAAACACAACUAAGAAUCCCUCCUCAGAAAAGCAAACGACUUUCCACAGCCUAAAGUAAGGUGUUGGUUAUCUGCUGGCAUUUCUCUCCCUCUGCUGCAGCUGCCUUGGCAGAAGAAGAGCCUGGAGUGAUGGGGCUGCUGCAUGGUGCAGGUGGGUUCUUGGCCUCUUAUUUGUUUGUUGUUUUUUUUUUUUUCUUUUUACCUUUCGGGCACCUUUUCUAAGCCAGAAGUGGUUUAUAUGUGUAUUGCUGCUCAGAAUGUCCUGGGGCUUCUCCUG
Molecule: long non-coding RNA, 549 nt
Filed under: Phasianus colchicus (ring-necked pheasant)
Lineage: Eukaryota; Metazoa; Chordata; Aves; Galliformes; Phasianidae
Description: lncRNA (ENSPCLG00000010272.1)
Source: RNAcentral